This 292-nucleotide ribosomal RNA is filed under the name uncultured bacterium. RNAcentral describes it as "partial 16S ribosomal RNA". It matches the Rfam family "Bacterial small subunit ribosomal RNA", at positions 505 to 796 of the family's 1533-position model. The record is from RNAcentral.
GUGUCAGCCGCCGCGGUAAUACGGAGGGGGCUAGCGUUGUUCGGAAUUACUGGGCGUAAAGCGCACGUAGGCGGCUUGAUAAGUUAGAGGUGAAAGCCCGGGGCUCAACUCCGGAAUAGCCUUUAAGACUGUCUCGCUUGAACGUCGGAGAGGUGAGUGGAAUUCCGAGUGUAGAGGUGAAAUUCGUAGAUAUUCGGAAGAACACCAGUGGCGAAGGCGGCUCACUGGACGACUGUUGACGCUGAGGUGCGAAAGCGUGGGGAGCAAACAGGAUUAGAUACCCCGGUAGUCC